This 12905-nucleotide long non-coding RNA is filed under the name Brassica napus (rape). Its description in RNAcentral is "long non-coding RNA (BNAP_LNC002241)". The record is from RNAcentral. Lineage: Eukaryota; Viridiplantae; Streptophyta; Magnoliopsida; Brassicales; Brassicaceae.
UCAGCAAAGGAGCCAAAGAUGAGAAAAGAACAGUCCACCACAAGGGCCAGUGAGUAUUCCAUCUCCUCUGUAUCAAGUGAUUCUAUGGUCCCAAAUCACACCCUCAAGGAAGAAGCUCCUGUUUCCAUGCAAAUAUCCAACUCAACACCAAAUCCAAGUUCCUUUUUUUACCCAGAAGGAAGUCUUAAAACACCUCAGGAAUAUGUUCCGAAAACGGCUGCCUUAGAUACAGCAAAUGAAGGCAUAAAAAUCUAUCAGGAGAACCAAUUUUCUCUGCCUGGGAGAAUCUCUGGAUCGGGGCUUGUUACUUCAGAUGGUGAUUCAUCGAAUGUGAGUAAUGUCGACCAGCAGGUGCUUCAUAAAAAGGUUUUUCAUUCUGAGCGCAUUCCACGAGAUAUGGCAGAAAGUAAACGUUUGUCUAAAUCUGAUGAUUCCCUUGGUUCCCAAUUUGUAAUGGCUAAGUCAACUUCAGAUGCAUUCCUACCUAUUAGCGAAUCAGCUGAAACUUUUCAUGAAGCUAAUAUGGAGUCCCAGAAUGUUCAUUCUAGCGCACCAGUAAGGCCAGCUCCUGAAAGCCUCUGGACAGCGGAGGGUAAUAUUUCACAAUUUGAAAAAAGGAACUUGGAGCCGAACGCCCCAGAGCACGUAAGUCAGUCAGAGGCUUCAGAUAAGGCUGUUCCGCGAGGACACCUAGAGAACGGGGAUAUUGUUGUUGAUAUUAAUGAUAGGUUUCCUCGUGAUUUUCUUGCUGAUAUAUUGAAAGUGAAAGAGUCUCUAAGCUUCCCUGGGUUAGGGCCAUUGCAUGGUGAUGGAGCUGGAGUGAGUGUAAAUGUUCAGAAUCUUGACCCUAAAAAUUGGUCGUAUUUUCGAAAUUUGGCGCAGGAUGAGUUUGAGAGGAAGGAUCUAUCCCUUAUGGACCAGGACCACCCUGGAUUUCCCACUUCCCUUACUAAUACCGACGGAGUUCCUAUUGAUUAUAGCUACCCACCAUUGCAAUCAGAGAAAAUUGCUCCAACUCGGUUAAAACCACAAAUCCACUUUGAUGAGAAUAUCCAGCCGCAUGUGUCCACUACUGCCGUGGCUGAUUCGAGAACAGCAGACACACAAGAAGAUUACGGUCAGUCACAGUUCAAAGGUGCUGAAACCACAGAUGCAAAUGUGGUAAGCUUUUUUGUUUUCAACCCAAAUAUGAAAAAUCUAAUAAAAUUUAACUACCGGAAAAAUACAUGUUUCAACUAAUAUAUUUGGAUAUGUAGAAUACUGGAGUUCCUCUUAUUGACCUUGUUGCUGAGGACAGUAGCCACAGGUCUCUGCAGGUAUGCUAUGCCUUAGUUAGUUUAUGGCUUAACAUGUUUACUAGGUGUUGCAUUUAACGCUCUCUUUUUAACCAGAUAACAUGUUUACAACCCAAGUACCAAAAGGAUUUUAUAUUUUAUCAACCAAGUUAUGACUUUCCAAUAAAUGAUUUAGCUGCCUUUCUAUUUUUUGGUAUUUGUCUGUUAUUGUUUUAAGGAAUUUUUUAGAAAGAUCACAAUGUACGCUGCUUAUAGACUAGACUAAAGUAGUGCAUGUCCCCAUUGGCAGCCGAAACCAUUGGAGCUUAAGAAUUAUAUCGUCAAUCUUGCUCCUGGUUUUCUCACUGAUUGUGUCCAUUUUAUUUUUGUUUCAGGUCAUUAAAAAUGAUGACUUGGAAGAACUGAAGGAACUAGGUUCUGGUACCUUUGGAACUGUUUACCAUGGAAAAUGGAGGGGUACAGAUGUUGCUAUCAAGCGAAUAAAAAGGAGCUGUUUCAUUGGUCGUUCAUCUGAACAAGAGAGACUGGUAAGUACAUUUGCUAUCCCGUGGUUCUCCCAAAUUACAUUAUUUGUCUGCUUUAUGGUCAAUAGAGUACUGCUAGAAGACACUACUACUGUCCCCAGAACAGAGCCGUUUUGCUGUUCUUUUUUCUCUUGCAUGAAGCGGCUGUUAGAUGCUUGUUAUAAGCACGAAUUUGACAUCUCCUAUAUAGUAUAGUUUUACUAAAUUUGUCCUCCACUGCAGAAUAACGCUUCUUACUAUCCAUAAAACCGCAUUAGUUUAACUGAUUUUCAUUUUCAGUAACCAAUGAUUGAAAAUUUCAGACCUCUGAGUUCUGGCAUGAAGCUGAAAUUCUUUCCAAGCUACAUCAUCCAAAUGUGAUGGCAUUCUACGGCGUAGUGAGAGAUGGGCCAGGAGGGACUUUAGCUACAGUGACAGAGUACAUGGUCAAUGGAUCGCUUAGACAUGUUCUGCUCAGCAACAGGUAAUUAUUUACACAUCUCGUUGCUAUUCUUGCUUUCUAAAAACAACUUUAGAUGUAAACCAGUUCACAUUUGGGGAAUUACAGGCAGAUUGAUCGACGUAAGCGACUCAUCAUUGCAAUGGAUGCAGCUUUUGGAAUGGAGUAUUUGCACUCAAAGAACAUAGUGCAUUUCGAUUUGAAAUGUGACAACUUGCUUGUCAACUUAAAGGAUCCCGCCCGUCCGAUUUGCAAGGUAAUUUUCUUGGACAGUUCGUUAUGUAACAUUGUCAUAUUGUUUUGCUUAUGUGAUAAGAGAGAGGAUGGUUUAUGCAGGUUGGUGAUUUUGGUCUGUCAAAGAUAAAAAGAAACACUUUGGUCACUGGUGGUGUAAGAGGAACCCUCCCUUGGAUGGCUCCCGAACUACUUAGUGGCAGCAGCAGCAAAGUUUCUGAAAAGGUAUGUAACCCAAUGCUCUCACACUAGCGUUGGAAGAUGAAUUCAGUUUCUAUUCAUUUAGUUUCACUGCCCUUAAAUGAUUUUCAAGUAAUGUUUCGCCUUCAUUUACAAACAGGUCGAUGUGUUCUCUUUCGGAAUAGUUUUGUGGGAAAUUCUUACCGGUGAGGAACCCUACGCCAAUAUGCAUUACGGAGCAAUCAUUGGUAAAUUGCUGUCUCUUCUGUCGUUUACUCUCCGCGUUUCUUUUCUUACCAAACAAGGUUGAAGCUUAAUCUGUUUUGGUUGUCUGAAUCUUUCACCUAUUGUAGGAGGCAUAGUGAACAAUACACUGAGACCAACCGUGCCAAGCUACUGUGACCCGGAAUGGAGGAUGCUGAUGGAGCAGUGUUGGGCUCCUGACCCAUUUGUUCGACCUUCCUUCCCAGAGAUAGCCAGACGUCUCCGCACCAUGUCCACCUCUGCAGCAAAAGCCCACGCGGCCAAUCACCAAGUCCACAAGUAAUCUACUAUAUGUUCAUUAUUACCGGUACGUAAUUCCCUCUUGUAAAAGUUUGUGUAUAAAAAACAUCGCUGCGUCUUCUUUCGGAUUUGAGAGUGUUGAUUUGUACAAGAAGUCCUAAACAUGUAUCCAUAUUUGUAUAGCCAUUAUUAUUAUUAUUAUUGAGUGUAAGUAAAUUGGUUUUGGUACGAUGACAUUGCUCUUCUUCUGUAAUUUUGAGUUUUUUUCUUCCAAUGAAAAAGCAAUCUAGUAAAUGCAUGAUUUUUGGUAUAAUAAUUUUAUACAAAUGUCUUAAGAUUUAUUCAUUUUUACUGCAUGAAACUAGUACACCAUCAGCCAUUUCUGCAUUUUGUAGUUUUUAAAAUUUAUUUCGUCCAGUUUAAAACUGAAAAUUAUUAAUUUUGUGUAAUCAAAUAUGAAUUUAUAAAGUAUAUUAGUUUUUUAUACAUAGAAAAUCUGACCGACAUUCAAAAGGCUCCCUUGAGGAACAUUGAAGAUUACACUAUGUUCUCUACAAAUCUUCCUUAGAAACGCGUACACAUAGUCAAUGGCUAUCUUCUUGUAGAACCUCGCUUGCCUCCUAGCUCGAAUCACCGUGUUCCCCAUUAUGUGCACCACUCCCGCAUCCCUGCACCUAUUUAUGAACUCCAGCUCGUCUACUCCACCGCUUAUAUAAUGAGGUUGGAUGUAUUAAAUGGUAAUACCAUUGCUUAUAUGCGGAAGGUUUACUCGUAGCCCACCUGCAACUGAGGGAAACACUUUAAUUUAUGAUCCAAUCACUAGCUUUGGGAGCACUCAUAUGUUCAAGUUGCAUGUACUAAGGCCUUGAUUGUUUCAACCGUAAGAUUUAAACUUCAUUUUCAAGAAACAUAACAGUUUUUUCAUUUUUUCAUUAAAAAAAGUCAAAGGUUCGAUCGUGCGACGGAUUACUUGGAAUGAUAAUUGAUUGUUUGUUUAUGCUGUCGAUGCGAUGUCGUGGCCCUCGUGGGUUCAUUGGUUCGAAACUCUACAACGAAAAGUUUGCUGUAAAGACAUAUCCUGAUGACUGAUGUAAAGUUGGACAAACGUUUUCUCCUUUCCACCUUCUUCUUUCAACAAAUUAAAUUAAAUUAAUAAAAUUAAUUGAUGUUUCUAUAAAAAUCUUGAUUUACAUUUCAAUCGUUCUAUAAGGUUAACGAUAAAACAAAUCUUGUUACUAUGAUAUUUCAAGUUUCCUUUCCAAUUUAAUGAUCUCAUCAUUAAUUUAAAAUAUAUUUUACGUUUUGAUGAUUCCACCAUAUCAUCAAACUUUUUAUGAAGCUAUAUAUAUUUUUUUUGUCAACAUGAAGCUAUAUUUUAAUGGUGAAGAAUAAAAUAAAAGUAAGUUAAAAAAAUUAAGAAGGAAAUAAAAUAAGUUGUGUUUUUACCUUUUACUUUAAUGUUAUGUAGCAUAAAAAUCGAACGGUGAACCUGGAAUUCGAUUCCCGUUAGCCACCAGAUAAUUUAACAUUGCAUUUAUGGGAUCUACGGAAUAGUCGCUAGAUACUGUAAUUAAUUCAAAAAAAAUUCUUUGGCAUGUGCAUAUAUAUAGAUUGAAAAUAUUUGAUCUUUUCGUUUUUCUCGUUUGAUUGGUACAUUAGUAACAUUACUAAAAGUAGUAAAGCGUAUAACAUUUUAAUCCAAUUUACUAGGUUAAGACUAGCGCUUUGUGUAUGGUGAAUGUAUUUUAACGAUAACAAUAUUACAUAUUAAUAAAUAGGUUGCAAAAUAUAUAAUUAUAGGUAAAGAUCUACGUUUUGCGCAAAAUGAAUGUGUAUAUAUAAAAUAAUUAAAUUAAAUUUAUAUUUUAAUUUUUAAUUUUUUUAUUGGACAUUAUAUAGAAAAUUUAUAAUAUGUAAAUUUUAAUUAUAUACAUAUAUUACAUAUAGAAUGAUUUGGUUUGUGAAUUAUAUAUUCAAUUAUCUUUAUCUAAUAGAGAUGAGACAUGUGGAACUUUGAAGAUUAGAUAUGUUAAUAAGUUGUUAAUAAAUAAUGAUGGGUUGAUGAACUGUUUAAAUAAUCGUUGGACUUUAGCUAUGUCAAGAGCUCACAGAUUUAGUGGCUCUACUCUUUAAACUCAUUUGGUGAAGUAACAUAUACUCGUAUCUUGGUUGUUUUUAUAUAAUUAGCUUAAUGUCUAAUUUAAAUAUUAGAUAUUAAAUAUAUAACUCUAAAAUUCUGUUACAUAAUCAUAACUGAAAGUGCCUAAUGACAUUCAAAUAAGUUAAGAAAAGUGCUGAGCAAAAAGUGCUCUAUAGUGUAAUAAAAACUCAUAAUGUAAACCUGAAUGUAAAAAAUUCAAGAAUAUAUCACAUUCAAAAAUGUGAACCGUGUGAUGUUGUGUAAAGAAUCGCUGCUGACCGCUAAUAUUAAUAAAUCAAUAUCAUGAACACGGACGGAACAUGACUUGACUGUUUGGUUUGAGAAUUUAAAUUUAUAUAUCGAAAGUUUAAUGGUAUUUGUUAGACUAUAAAAUGAUUUUUUUACGGGAUUACUUGGGAUAAGAAAUUAUUAUUCGAAACUUUCAAAGACUAGUACAACUAAUGCUUAUUUAAUUUGUUUAAUUGUUUCUCGUUAUCCUUGAAAUAUAUUUAUUAAUAAAAAUUAUAUAAACAACACUAAUGUUCUUACAAAUAUUAUUAUUUAAAAAAAUAUAAAUUAUGUUUACAUAUAAAAUUUAACAAAUCAUAUAAAAAUAUAAGUAAAAAUUAAUAAAAGUACAAGUAAAAAUUAAUAAAAAUAUAAGCAAAAAUAUAGAAACUUUAAGUAAAAUAUAUUUUUUAAAUGGAGAUUUUUUUAUUAACAAUUGAUUUUAGUAAAUUAUGAUUGAUUAUGGUGAAUAUAUUGGUGAUGAUAUUAACAAAUAUUGCUAUACAAUUAAUUUUAUAAAAUUAUCUUUAAUAACUAUUAAUGUAUUUGAAUUGGUUAAAAAUCUAAUGUAAUAAUUUAUAUUAUAUAUAUAUAUUUAUAUUUAUAUAUUUAUAUAUGAUUAUUAAGAAAAAUAUAAAAAUAUGUUGUUAAAAGUUUGGUUAGGGUAUAUAAACAUGUUGGACCGAGUAGAAAUGACAAUUAAAAUGUUGAUUGUAAGUAAUUAAAUAUAUCAGAUGUUGAAUUCUUAUUAUUAUGUAUACAUGUAUGCAGUAAACACAUUAACAUGAUUAAUAUGCAGAAUCAAAACAUCGGGGUUUGGUGGCUCGGAGUGAUCCUUGAGCACGGCAUCCUAGAGCCCCUAGGAUAUUGGCCUGUAAUACUUUUUAACCGCCUAAACGAUUACGCAGAACGGGUGGAAUGGGGUAGUGAAAUCAUCAAUCAGGAAAAUCUCGGUUGGCAUACCACGAUCGAAAUGGGAUCCGGAUAUAUGUCUGACAGCGUGUAUGGGAAAGCCGCCUAUAUGCGGAACCUAGAAGUCGCAUUGUCGGCAAAUGUCUUCAAGCCGCUCGAAGACCUCUUCGUAGGAUCUACUCACCCAAAUUAUUACCGAUCAAAGAAGUCAAACAGUUCUGCGUUUGGGGCCAACUUCUAUUACGGAAGUCCUAAACAACUCUUGCUCGCAGUCCAUCUUAAGUUGCACUCGUCUCUUGUUUAUAUAUGUUUCGCUGUGUGUUUUCUACUCUAGUUUCUUUUGGUUUGUUUGUUGUAUUUUGUUGGGGAGUUAAUAUGUUAUUUUGCUACAUGUAAGAGUUUCUUAUAGUAUGAACGUCGAGACAUAUAUUUUAACUCUGAUGUAAUAAUUGGAAAUGGUCUAAUUUCUGGAAUGAACUUGACCAAUCCAACAGAAAAAAAAAAAAGAAACCGGUUUUGGAGACACAACAAAGAAGAUGAGAGGUUAACCCUGUUUGGUCCUCAAUACCGGCGGAUAUUAACCGGUUUACUAUAUAUGCAACCGUGUAUAGAACCAACAAACCAAAACUAACUUAAAUAACGGACAAAAAAACGUGACGGCAAGGCUCGGAUCGGGAAGCUAUCAUGGUGGCAGAAUGUGAAUGUAUAUGGGAGUCAAAUUGGUCUUGUGGAUUUAUCCAUUCAGUAACUGCAAAAAUACGCCUCGUUUCACAUCCGAAGCUAUUGAAUAGAAACUCAUUAGUGAUUUCCAAAUAAACCAAAGUUCCCUAAUCCCUUUCGUUUCUUCUACUCAGUUAACUUGUAUUCAUCUCGCAUAUCUUUUCAUCUAAACGUAUGCUUAAUUUCUUCUUUAUCACUCUCUAAAAAGCAUUUUAAAUUAUUACUUGCAAUGAUGAAGUAUCGAACAGUUGAACAGUGACUAAUUAAGGCUUAAAAUUUUAGAGAGAGUAAGACACUAUCUCAAACACUGGCAGAAAACAACUGAAGCCUGAGUUGUAAUUCACUUUUUAUGACAUGUGCAGAGUAACAAUGAGGUCAAAAAGAAUAGCUGUUGGGUCCGUUUAAAGUGUAACACUCUAAUACUAGUACCAAGUACGAGAAAACUAAUGGAAUCUACAAGCAAAGAAGUAUUUCAAAAUCUAUCUUCCUUACGAAUCUGUUACCAAUGCUUUUCCAAACCGAAAAGGUUAGGCCACUUGAGGUGGAUAUCUCCUUCUGUAAGUCUCGGGGCCAAGAAGUUGAGCGAGUUCAAGCUCCUCCACAAUCUGAUGACUCUCACUCAAGAGACAAAGCAAAUUUGGUUAUACGGAAGUGACUAGACCAGUUUGGUUUGUGCAUAGACAUGAGCAGUCUGGUUCAGUAGAAUUUCUUAAGACAAGACGUUUUUCACGGUUACUCAUUAGCUUGAUGAGUGGUAGCUUCUGUGAGACUUGACGCCAGAUCUCCUUCACUGCUCCAUUUGGGUUAUCAUAAUCAAAAUACCGUCUUACCUAUAUGCCCCAUCAUCAUUCACGUGUGAGAAAACGUCUACUUAAAAGAGGUUAGAAGUUGAAUAAAUAGAGAAACGUACCUGUUUCAUCUCUCUUUGAUACUCAAGAACCUUCUCGGUUCCUAUUCUCCUCAGCAUCCCAACCAAGAACCCUGGCUCCAGAGCCACACCGGCCUCGACGAAAAUCGAAAACUUUCUGUAAUCUAUAACAUCUUCAAAAGGCAACUCGAUGCUAUCGCUUACAAUGACGGGCACACACAAGCUGACUAUGGAGUCAAAGAGUCUGCAUGCGGAUGGAGUGUCACCCGCAGGGUUUAGACAGAACUUUGAAGUAUGCAUUCCUUUCGUAGCCGCUCGUCGGUUCUCUCUUGAUUGAGUCCCAUGUUUGAUGGUUACAUCUUCUUCCUUUUCAAGUACUUGGAAUAGCAAAUCACGAACUUUCCCGCCCUAAAGACAGCCAAAAAAAAAAAAAGCAACUCAUAUUGUUCGUUUUGCUGACUAAUCGCAAAACAUUAUAUACAUGGUUAAAUAUUUUAGCGAUUUAAAAUUAAUUGUAACUAGUCCUGCUACGGACAAACAACAUUUGAUUGUAGAUCGCAACGACAUUCAAACCAACAUGCCCAUUGAUUUAAACUUACAUCUUUGCGGUAUCGAUUCCCCAUGAAGAAGAGCAACGUGCUGCGAGCCUCCACGCCAAUCUCUCCAGCGAAGAGAUUGACCCUAUGAGAGUAAGGUAUCACCACAUCUUUAACGAACGAUCCUUGAUCAGGCCUAAUCCUCCCAAAAUCCGCCACCAGGAGAACCGCGUUCUUGACCCGGUCCAAGAUCCGAUACAGCGCGUUCGGAUCACCCGCGGGAACCACGUGAUCUCUCCCUUUGUUCCUCCUCCACCACUCUUGGCUCUCAAGCCAGUCCAUCAACUCCUCCUGCAUCUUCUCGUCGCUGUAACCCGACCCGGGAUCCACGGGUCGACCCGCGUUCACGAUUAAACUGAGGGAAGAGAACACGGGGACGUAGAAAAGAUCAGCGUCGGCAGGAUCCGACACGCGGGUGAUCGGAGACCCGGGUCGAUCCGCCUCGGGUCGGUUUAGAUCCGAGAAGAGGUACCACUCGUGCAUAUGCUGGUGACCCGGAUACUUGAGCGUGGUGGGGUUCUUCAGCCCAUUGCGGACGAUUGCGUGCUGUUCGAUUACACCGUGAGUGAAUCUGUUGGGGAGAUCGUACAUGUAAACUUUAACUUUAGGAUGAAUCAGAGCACGUGGUUGUUCAUCUUCUUCGCGGAUGAGAUCGGAGGAGGAAGGGAGGGAGGGGCUGACGGAGGCGUUGAGGAUGACGUAGAUGGCGAUGACGGAGACGACGGCGAUGGCUGCUCGUUUGAGAAGGGAUGAUUUACGCGCCAUUGUUGGAAGCUUGUGUUAAGGGUUUUCAAGGGAGAAGAGAUUGAAGAAAUGUAACUUAUUAGCAGCUAAAGUCAAAGACUUGUGAAGAUGACUCGUCGUGAUUUAGGUUCGGUCCAAAUCUUCCAUAACAGCUUAUUUAUUUAUUUGUAUCAAUAGUUUUCAUUUUAAUAUUAAUUUAUUUUCUAUUAAAAAUAUUCUUAGAAAUUUAUCUUUUAUCAUGGACAUUUACUUUGUGAUCAUUUUACUUGUAUGAUUGUAUCUAGUAUGGGGCAAAAAAAUCAAAACAUAUAUAAAUGUCAAUAUAUAUAUAUCCACAUAUUAUAUUACAUAAAAUAAAAAGGCAAAUUUGUAUAUUAUAUAUUGUAUAAUAGUUGUAAAAAAAAUAUUGUAUAAUAUAAUCUGAAUCUAUACUAUAUUAAAAAAGGGUUAUAUGAGCAUCAGAGAGGAUGUCUACGUCCGACGAUAAAAUCUACCAAUCAAAGAUAGUUUUUCUGCCACGUCACAAUCAGGCUUCCCAAAAAAAUUGUGUCUAUCUGAAUCGUCUUUUCAUCUUUUUUCCUCAUACAAAACGUGAAGUUUCUUCAGAUGAUUGUCUUCUCAACUUCCAUAUCAUCCUCCAUCACUCAUAAUUAUAUAUUGAUCCAACCCAUAGAGACACUAACAAUAGAUUGAUUCGUCUGUUUGAUUCAAAAUCAUCACCUCCACUCAGUUCUAAAUACAAAUUUCCCAGUUUCAGAAUUCAGAUCGACCUGGGAGUACUCAACCGACGAAUAAUAACAGCCGGUAUCACUUUGGAUCGGCCGUUCAACCGUGAAUAAUUAUAAAAGAGCCCCUGGCGGCAGUGUUUACCGGCAAAGUCGUUGCUCAGGGUGGUGAAGAGAAAACAUGGGAGUGCGAGGGCUUUGGGAGCUACUCGCUCCCGUUGGUCGCCGCGUCUCUGUCGAAACCCUAGCCGGGAAACGAUUGGCUAUCGGUACACAUGAUUAAUCAACCUUCAUUGUACCUCGCUACUAAGAACCACCGUUUCUUAGCCGAAAAAUGUAAAAAAAAAUAAAAUGUCAAAUCAUGAGUUAACAGACCGUGGCUAAUCAUGCCUUUAGUUUCAUGGUUGGAAGUGGAUUUGCAUGAGUAGGGCCCAAAAUUUAUUAAGAAAAAUAUAUUAAUUGAUUAUUUACUGUAAAUCUCAAGGCUCUGUGCUUGAGUAGUGCCUUUUUUCCUGAAGAAUAUGUUUGAUGCUCUAGUAAACUUACUACUCUUUCCUCCAUUUCAGGCACAUCAAUGAGAGUCUGAGUUGUUCAUGUUCCAAGUUCUAUUCUGCAGCCAAAGCGCUGGAUGUUUAACAAAGGAUGCAUAUGCGAAGAUUUUACUUGGGCUAUGAUAUGUGGACUCCAAGCGUCUGUGAAGGAGCUGGUAAACUAGAUGGAUAAAGAUAACAUGGAUCAAGCAAAGGGUUAUGAACACGUUCGGUAUACUGCCGCCCCUGACCCUAGGAGUGAGGGGAUUGGCUCUAUGAAUCAAAGGUUUUCUCAAGAUUCUUCAACUAAUGUUAACAUGAAUGUACGACCUCCAGAUUAUGCUAUUCCCACCCCUGCUCGGCCAGUGCUGAACUACUCCAUACAGACUGGUGAAGAAUUUGCUUUUGAGUUUAUGAGAGAUAGGGUGAUUAUGAAACCGCAGUUCAUACCCAAUGUGUACGGUGAGCCGCCCAGUGGUAUGCCUGUUUCUGUUAAUUUAAGUGCUAUGGGAAUGGUUCUUCCGGUGUCAGAGAGUGGCUCUAACCCCACGGUGCUUAGCGCAGCAGAGAAACGCCAUACCUUUGAGCAAGAGAGAAAACCUCCUGCUAGAAAGGAAGAUAAGAGCUACCAUGAGCUUGUCAAGUCAGACCCGGCUAUUUCUUCAAGAAAUGACACUGGCCAAAGGGUUCACAGUUUGGUUUCCUCUAGAGCUUCUGAUAGCUCUUUGAACCAGGCAAAGUUCUUGUGUAGUUUUGGGGGUAGAAUCAUACCCCGCCCCAGAGAUCAGAAACUUAGAUAUGUAGGCGGUGAAACGCGUAUCAUACGGAUUAGCAAGGAUAUUUCUUUCCAAGAACUCAUGCAUAAAAUGUCAGAAAUGUUCCCUGAAGUACGUACCAUAAAAUAUCAGCUUCCAGGCGAAGAUCUUGAUGCCUUAGUCUCUGUAUCUUCUGAUGAGGAUUUACAAAACAUGAUGGAGGAAUGUAACGUAUUUGGUAAUGGAGGAUCUGAGAAGCCCAGGAUGUUCUUGCUUUCAAGCAGUGAUAUAGAGGAGGGUCAGUUCGGUAUGGAAGCUGCAGAGGGUGAUUCUGAGGUUCAGUAUGUUGUUGCUGUCAAUGGGAUGGAUCUUGGUUCACGUAAAAGUUCCCUUGGUAUAACUGCUCCAGGGAACAAUUUGGAUGAACUACUUCACAGUAAUACUGACAGGGAGAUCAGUCGAGCUGCCACAGAACCAGCAGUAGCUUCGGUUGCUCCCUUGGCUGGUAAUGAGUCUUUGUCAGCGGGCCAAACUUCUCAACCCGUGGCAGGUUUUUCUACUGGUAAUGAACCAUUUUCACAGCCUUAUCUAGGACAGCAAGUGCACUUCACCGGACUUGGUAACCACCAAGUUUACACAUCAGCUCACAUGGCAAGCAUCGGCUAUAUAGAUGAGAAGGGGUCUGCUCCGUUGCAUGUUCAACCACAGCCUCAUUUUAUUCCUUAUUCUGUGAAUCCUGAAACGCCUCUUGAAGUUGUGGCGCCUCACUAUCCACAUAAACCAGAGCAAGGAGUUUUGCAUGAUGAGCAGAUCUACCAUGUACAAGAUUCAGAAGCUUCAACAAAAGAGGCCAAAAUGAGAAGAGAUGACUCGUUUAAGAAGGUAACUGAUCCUGCUAAUGUAUCUACUGUCGGGACCAGUCUUUCAGCAAAGGAACCAAAGAUGAGGAUAGAAUCAUCAACUCCAAGGGUCAGUGAGUACUCUGUUUCCUCUACGUCUGAUUUGAAAGUCCCAGAUCACGUCCUGAAGGAAGAAGCCCCGGUUUCCACACAAGUAUCCGAUUCAACACCAAAUCCAAGUACCUCAGCUUGUCCAGAGAAAAGUGGUAGAAAAUCCCAGGAUCAUGUUGAGAAUAAUCUUUCAGCAAAGGAGCCAAAGAUGAGAAAAGAACAGUCCACCACAAGGGCCAGUGAGUAUUCCAUCUCCUCUGUAUCAAGUGAUUCUAUGGUCCCAGAUCACACCCUCAAGGAAGAAGCUCCUGUUUCCAUGCAAAUAUCCAACUCAACACCAAAUCCAAGUUCCUUUUUUUACCCAGAAGGAAGUCUUAAAACACCUCAGGAAUAUGUUCCGAAAACGGCUGCCUUAGAUACAGCAAAUGAAGGCAUAAAAAUCUAUCAGGAGAACCAAUUUUCUCUGCCUGGGAGAAUCUCUGGAUCGGGGCUUGUUACUUC